AGAGUUUGAUCAUGGCUCAGAUUGAACGCUGGCGGUAUGCUUAACACAUGCAAGUCGAACGGAAACGAUGGAAGCUUGCUUCCAGGCGUCGAGUGGCGGACGGGUGAGUAACGCGUAGGAAUCUGCCUGAUAGUGGGGGAUAGCCCGGAGAAAUUCGGAUUAAUACCGCAUAAUCUCUACGGAGUAAAGGAGGCCUCUAUUUAUAUGCUUUCGCUAUCAGAUGAGCCUGCGUAAGAUUAGCUAGUUGGUGAGGUAAAGGCUCACCAAGGCGACGAUCUUUAGCUGGUCUGAGAGGAUGAUCAGCCACACUGGGACUGAGACACGGCCCAGACUCCUACGGGAGGCAGCAGUGGGGAAUAUUGCACAAUGGGGGAAACCCUGAUGCAGCCAUGCCGCGUGUGUGAAGAAGGCCUUCGGGUUGUAAAGCACUUUCAGUUGUGAGGAAAGGUUAAGGGUUAAUAACCCUUAGCUGGACGUAGCAACAGAAGAGCACC
Molecule: ribosomal RNA, 494 nt
Filed under: uncultured bacterium
Lineage: Bacteria
Description: bacterial SSU rRNA
Rfam family: Bacterial small subunit ribosomal RNA
Source: RNAcentral